AGCGAACGCUGGCGGCAGGCCUAACACAUGCAAGUCGAACGAACUCUUCGGAGUUAGUGGCGGACGGGUGAGUAACACGUGGGAACGUGCCUUUUGGUUCGGAAUAAUUCAGGGAAACUUGUGCUAAUACCGAAUGUGCUCUUCGGGGGAAAGAUUUAUCGCCAUUAGAGCGGCCCGCGUCUGAUUAGCUAGUUGGUGAGGUAACGGCUCACCAAGGCGACGAUCAGUAGCUGGUCUGAGAGGAUGACCAGCCACACUGGGACUGAGACACGGCCCAGACUCCUACGGGAGGCAGCAGUGGAGAAUCUUGCGCACUGGGCGAAGGCCUAACGCAGCCAUGCCGCGUAAAUGAUGAAGGUCUUAGGAUUGUAAAAUUCUUUCACCGGGGACGAUGAUGACGGUACCCGGAGAAGAAGCCCCGGCUAACUUCGUG
RNAcentral lists this ribosomal RNA (433 nucleotides) under uncultured bacterium. RNAcentral's name for it is "partial 16S ribosomal RNA". It matches the Rfam family "Bacterial small subunit ribosomal RNA", at positions 29 to 507 of the family's 1533-position model. The record is from RNAcentral.